UUUCUUGAUUGUUACACAAAAGUUGUUUUUGUUUUGUGUUGUUUUGUUUUGUUUUGUUUUGGACAAGACAAAGUUCUCAUGCCAAACCUAGUCUGUUUGUUCCUGAAGGAAGCCAUCAUGCCCUGCAGCUUCAGUCCUUACCAUGUGCCGUCUGCAGUGCCCAACACCGCACAUUCCAGUGAGCCGGGACCGUCUAGGAAAACCGCAAAGCUCCUUCAGGAAAACAGUUCUAUAGACAGUAGAAAACAAUCAGUCUUCUCUUUAACGAUUUCUUCAAAGUACUUCUGGAAAACAGCCACUCUGAUGUCUACCCUAGAUUCUAAGGAUUCCAUUAGAUUUCUUACUACACCGGUUGCUAUCUGGACUUCUUCACCUUUGGUUAUGGAUGCAGCCAGCUACCUUGUCUUACCUUUGCUCUUGUCCCUUUGUGCGCCACUGACUCUUACAGGGUCUCACUGUGUAGCCCUGGCUGUCCUGGAACUCACCCUGUAUACCAAAGUGAUCUUGAACUCAGAGAUUCUGCCUGCCUCUGCCUCCUGAGUGUGAGCCACUAAGCUCAGUAGCCCAAGCUCCCCUCAGACUCUCCAAAUCAAAGAACCCUGUCCUAGUUUUCCUGAAUCUCUGGGGCUCCAGCUUUGCCUAUGGCUGCUUUAUUGACUGACUUUGCCCCUUACCCCCGUGUAUUUGACACUGCUUCAUCCAGCUCAACUUCUCAAAAAAAUAAAGAAAAAUCGAUCCUUUUUUUCUAGCUCCCAGUAACAGAGUUGACUAGUGAAUUCAAAGCCAGUUUGCAGUUUGGGCCAUAUACUGAGAUUACCUCAAAAAUUGUUUUAAAAAUGCUGGUCAUAGACCACAGAGAUAGCUCAGGGGGUUUCAACACCCUGUGCCAUCAACACAAUGACAGGCAUUCAAUUCCUAGGACCCACUUAGUUCAAGGAGAGCCAAGUCCCGCAAAUGGAUCGUUCACUUCCCACACCUGCACCAAAUAAGUGUAGUAAGUCUUGUGUUUUGCGAGACAAGGUCCCACUAUUUAGCCUUGACUGACCUCCAAGCCACAGAGAUCCAACUGCCUCAGCUCCUCCAUGCUGGGAUUGAAGGCAUGGGCUGCCACAGUCAGCUACUAUUCUUAAAGAAGAGCUGGUCCUUUUAUUGCUUCCAUUUGACACAUGAAGAAAUGAUGUGACACAGUCACGUCCUUAGGUCAGGCAGCUAAUAACAGAGUCAAGGCAGCAGUGAGAUGCCGGACCUGGUACAAUGUAUACUGAGGUCUCUCCAGUUGGCAUUUCUCACGGUGGUAGUGCUGUCUUUAACAGUUGAUGGACCCCAGGGAUCUUUCUACAACUAAGUCUGUACAACCUGUAGUUGAGUCAAUCCGCGAAGUUUUUAAAGAUGUCACUGUUGAUUACUCAUAUCCUAGCAUUCCGGAGGCUAGCUUAAGUCAUCAGGCUUGGCUGCUUUACCUGCUGAGCUGUCUUAAAGCCCCACCCUUAUUUUUUUAUGCAAAUGUAUUUAUAUGAUGUCUUA
This 1524-nucleotide long non-coding RNA is filed under the name Rattus norvegicus (Norway rat). Its description in RNAcentral is "long non-coding RNA NONRATT000846". Lineage: Eukaryota; Metazoa; Chordata; Mammalia; Rodentia; Muridae. The record is from RNAcentral.